CUUAGUAACGGCGAAGUGAAGCGGGAUGAGCUCAAAUUUAAAUCUGGCUGGUUUACUAGUCCGAAUUGUAGUUAUAGAAGCGUUUCGGUGGCAGCCUGGGUAUAAAUCCUUUGGAAUAGGGUAUCAUAGAGGGUGAGAAUCCCGUCUUUGACUCAGUGCAUGCUACUAUGUGAUACGUUUUCAAAGAGUCGAGUUGUUUGGGAAUGCAGCUCAAAAUGGGUGGUAAAUUUCAUCUAAAGCUAAAUAUUGGCGAGAGACCGAUAGCGAACAAGUACCGUGAGGGAAAGAUGAAAAGAACUUUGAAAAGAGAGUUAAACAGUGCGUGAAAUUGUUGAAAGGGAAACGCUUGACACCAGUCAUGCGAGUGGAAAAUCAGUCUUUUGCAAUGGGGAGUUGUGGGCGUUCAGACCGCAAGGCUGGCGUUUGCUUCAUCUUUGUUGUAAGUGAUGCACUUUUUCAUUUGCAGGUCAACAUCAGUUUGCUUUGCUGGACAAAACCCCAAGGGAAGGUGGCAGCUUAGGCUGUGUUAUAGCCCUGGGGCGAUACAGUGGAGUGGACUGAGGUUUUCGCAGUGUGUGCUCUCUGGGCAAGGCUGACUGGGUGCUAUGGGAUCGUUCGGCGUACAAUGCAUGCAUUUUGCGUCGUGUCUUUUUCAUACUCGCUCAACUCGGCUCUUCCACACUUAGGAUGUUGACUUAAUGGUUUUAAUCGACCCGUCUUGAAACACGGACCAAGGAGUCUAACAUAUAUGCAAGUGUUUGGGUGGCAAACCCAUGCGCGUAAUGAAAGUGAACGUAGGUGCCAUCCGCAAGGUGCAGCAUCGACCGAUCUUGAUAUUUUUGGAUAGAUUUGAGUAAGAGCAUAUAUGCUGGGACCCGAAAGAUGGUGAACUAUGCCUGAAUAGGGUGAAGCCAGAGGAAACUCUGGUGGAGGCUCGUAGCGAUUCUGACGUGCAAAUCGAUCGUCAAAUUUGGGUAUAGGGGCGAAAGACUAAUCGAACCCCUCUGUGCCGA
RNAcentral lists this ribosomal RNA (1013 nucleotides) under Linnemannia hyalina. RNAcentral describes it as "partial large subunit ribosomal RNA". It matches the Rfam family "Eukaryotic large subunit ribosomal RNA", at positions 79 to 954 of the family's 3401-position model. Lineage: Eukaryota; Fungi; Mortierellomycota; Mortierellomycetes; Mortierellales; Mortierellaceae. The record is from RNAcentral.